CGGUGUCGCAGCUAACCGCGUUAAGUUCUCCCGCCUGGGGAGUACCGCCGGCAACGGUAAAACUCAAAGGAAUUGACGGGGACCCGCACAAGCGGUGGAGCAUGUGGUUUAAUUCGAUGCAACGCGAAGAACCUUACCUGCCCUUGACAUUGACAGAACCCUGUAGAGAUACGGGGGUGCUUCGGCCUGGAAAACAGGUGCUGCAUGGCUGUCGUCAGCUCGUGUCGUGAGAUGUUGGGUUAAGUCCCGCAACGAGCGCAACCCUUGUCCUUAGUUGCCAGCACUUCGGGUGGGAACUCUAGGGAGACUGCCGGUGACAAACCGGAGGAAGGUGGGGACGACGUCCAAGUCAUCAUGGCCCUUAUGGGCAGGGCU
RNAcentral lists this ribosomal RNA (375 nucleotides) under uncultured bacterium. RNAcentral's name for it is "bacterial SSU rRNA". It matches the Rfam family "Bacterial small subunit ribosomal RNA", at positions 841 to 1215 of the family's 1533-position model. The record is from RNAcentral.